CCCUUAGAUGUUCUGGGCUGCACACGUGCUACACUGGCAGGUUCAGCGAGCUUCAUGCCCUGAUCUGAAAGGAAUGGGAAAUCUUUUCAAAACCUGCCGUGCUUGGGAUAGAUGUUUGCAAUUAUUCAUCUUCAACGAGGAUUGCCUUGUAAGCGCACGUCAUCAGCGUGCAUUGAAUACGACCCUGUAUUCUGCACACACCGCCCGUCGCUCCUACCGAUUGAAGUUUUCGGUGAGUCGACAGGAGGAUUUUUUUGAAACUGGUUCGCCAGUGGAUUUUAGAUCCAAAUGCCAACGAAUCGAUGGCUUUAGAGGAAGGAGAAGUCGUAACA
Molecule: ribosomal RNA, 332 nt
Filed under: uncultured eukaryote
Lineage: Eukaryota
Description: partial 18S ribosomal RNA
Rfam family: Eukaryotic small subunit ribosomal RNA
Source: RNAcentral